This 317-nucleotide ribosomal RNA is filed under the name uncultured bacterium. Its description in RNAcentral is "bacterial SSU rRNA". It matches the Rfam family "Bacterial small subunit ribosomal RNA", at positions 28 to 339 of the family's 1533-position model. The record is from RNAcentral.
GACGAACGCUGGCGGCGUGCCUAACACAUGCAAGUCUACGAGAAAAGGGUAGCAAUAUCCUGAGUAAAGUGGCGCACGGGUGAGUAACACGUAGGCAAUCUGCCUUUAGGACGGGAACAACCCCGGGAAACCGGGGCUAAUACCCGAUAAUGCAGCGGCACCGCAUGGUGACAGUUGUUAAAUGCCCGCAAGGGCGCCUAGAGAUGAGCCUGCGUCCCAUUAGGUAGUUGGUGAGGAACGGCCCACCAAGCCUACGAUGGGUAGCUGAUCUGAGAGGAUGAUCAGCCACACUGGAACUGAGACGCGGUCCAGACUCC